This 257-nucleotide ribosomal RNA is filed under the name uncultured bacterium. RNAcentral describes it as "partial 16S ribosomal RNA". It matches the Rfam family "Bacterial small subunit ribosomal RNA", at positions 524 to 776 of the family's 1533-position model. RNAcentral also lists the same sequence under 1 other name. The record is from RNAcentral.
UACAGAGACCUCAAGCGUUAUCCGGAAUCAUUGGGCGUAAAGCGUACCGAUAGGUGGUUUAGAAAGUCAGAUGUGAAAUUCCAAGGCUCAACCUUGGGACUGUCAUUUGAAACUUCUAAACUAGAGGGGCAAAGAGGAAGCUGGAACGAACGGUGUAGUAGUGAAAUGCGUUGAUAUCGUUCGGAACACCAAUAGCGAAGGCGGGCUUCUGGGUGCCACCUGACACUGCUAGGACGAAAGCGUGGGGAGCGAAUGGG